Molecule: ribosomal RNA, 761 nt
Filed under: Prevotella melaninogenica
Lineage: Bacteria; Pseudomonadati; Bacteroidota; Bacteroidia; Bacteroidales; Prevotellaceae
Description: bacterial SSU rRNA
Rfam family: Bacterial small subunit ribosomal RNA
Source: RNAcentral
GAUGAACGCUAGCUACAGGCUUAACACAUGCAAGUCGAGGGGAAACGGCAUUAAGUGCUUGCACUUUUUGGACGUCGACCGGCGCACGGGUGAGUAACGCGUAUCCAACCUUCCCAUGACUAAGGGAUAACCUGCCGAAAGGCAGACUAAUACCUUAUGGUCUUCACUGACGGCAUCAGAUGUGAAGUAAAGAUUUAUCGGUUAUGGAUGGGGAUGCGUCUGAUUAGCUUGUUGGCGGGGUAACGGCCCACCAAGGCGACGAUCAGUAGGGGUUCUGAGAGGAAGGUCCCCCACAUUGGAACUGAGACACGGUCCAAACUCCUACGGGAGGCAGCAGUGAGGAAUAUUGGUCAAUGGACGAGAGUCUGAACCAGCCAAGUAGCGUGCAGGAUGACGGCCCUAUGGGUUGUAAACUGCUUUUGUAUGGGGAUAAAGUCAAUCACGUGUGAUUGUUUGCAGGUACCAUACGAAUAAGGACCGGCUAAUUCCGUGCCAGCAGCCGCGGUAAUACGGAAGGUCCGGGCGUUAUCCGGAUUUAUUGGGUUUAAAGGGAGCGUAGGCCGGAGAUUAAGUGUGUUGUGAAAUGUAGACGCUCAACGUCUGACUUGCAGCGCAUACUGGUUUCCUUGAGUACGCACAACGUUGGCGGAAUUCGUCGUGUAGCGGUGAAAUGCUUAGAUAUGACGAAGAACUCCGAUUGCGAAGGCAGCUGACGGGAGCGCAACUGACGCUUAAGCUCGAAGGUGCGGGUAUCGAACAGG